UACGGAGGAUGCAAGCGUUAUCCGGAUUUAUUGGGUUUAAAGGGUGCGUAGGCGGGGCAACAAGUCAGUGGUGAAAUCUUUCGGCUUAACCGAAAAACUUCCAUUGAAACUGUUGUCCUUGAGUAUACUUGGAGUGGGCGGAAUGUGUCAUGUAGCGGUGAAAUGCUUAGAUAUGACACAGAACACCAAUCGCGAAGGCAGCUCACUAAAUUAUAACUGACGCUGAAGCACGAAAGCGUGGGGAUCAAACAGG
This 253-nucleotide ribosomal RNA is filed under the name uncultured bacterium. RNAcentral's name for it is "partial 16S ribosomal RNA". It matches the Rfam family "Bacterial small subunit ribosomal RNA", at positions 524 to 776 of the family's 1533-position model. The record is from RNAcentral.